GACGAACGCUGGCGGCGUGCUUAACACAUGCAAGUCGAACGGAAAGGCCCUGCUUGCCGGGUACUCGAGUGGCGAACGGGUGAGUAACACGUGGGUGAUCUGCCCUGCACUUCGGGAUGAGCCUGGGAAACUGGGUCUAAUACCGGAUAGGAGCCAUUUUUAGUGUGAUGGUUGGAAAGUUUUUUCGGUGUAGGAUGAGCUCGCGGCCUAUCAGCUUGUUGGUGGGGUAAUGGCCUACCAAGGCGGCGACGGGUAGCCGGCCUGAGAGGGUGGACGGCCACAUUGGGACUGAGAUACGGCCCAGACUCCUACGGGAGGCAGCAGUGGGGAAUAUUGCACAAUGGGCGCAAGCCUGAUGCAGCGACGCCGCGUGGGGGAUGACGGCCUUCGGGUUGUAAACUCCUUUCGCUAGGGACGAAGCUUUUUGUGACGGUACCUAGAGAAGAAGCACCGGCUAACUACGUG
Molecule: ribosomal RNA, 465 nt
Filed under: uncultured bacterium
Lineage: Bacteria
Description: partial 16S ribosomal RNA
Rfam family: Bacterial small subunit ribosomal RNA
Source: RNAcentral